AGAGUUUGAUCMUGGCUCAGAUUGAACGCUGGCGGCAUGCCUUACACAUGCAAGUCGAACGGCAGCACGGGAGCAAUCCUGGUGGCGAGUGGCGAACGGGUGAGUAAUAUAUCGGAACGUGCCCAGUCGUGGGGGAUAACGUAGAGAAAUUUACGCUAAUACCGCAUACGAUCUAAGGAUGAAAGCGGGGGACUCGCAAGGGCCUCGCGCGAUUGGAGCGGCUGAUAUCAGAUUAGGUUGUUGGUGAGGUAAAAGCUCACCAAGCCGACGAUCUGUAGCUGGUUUGAGAGAACGACCAGCCACACUGGGACUGAGACACGGCCCAGACUCCUACGGGAGGCAGCAGUGGGGAAUUUUGGACAAUGGGCGAAAGCCUGAUCCAGCAAUGCCGCGUGCAGGAAGAAGGCCUUCGGGUUGUAAACUGCUUUUGUACGGAACGAAAAGGUCUGCCCUAAUACGGCGGGCCCAUGACGGUACCGUAAGAAUAAGCACCGGCUAACUACGUGCCAGCAGCCGCGGUAAUA
Molecule: ribosomal RNA, 524 nt
Filed under: uncultured bacterium
Lineage: Bacteria
Description: bacterial SSU rRNA
Rfam family: Bacterial small subunit ribosomal RNA
Source: RNAcentral